RNAcentral lists this long non-coding RNA (946 nucleotides) under Malus domestica (apple). Its description in RNAcentral is "long non-coding RNA (MDOM_LNC018608)". Lineage: Eukaryota; Viridiplantae; Streptophyta; Magnoliopsida; Rosales; Rosaceae. The record is from RNAcentral.
UAAUGGUUUCGGAAACCUAUAUUAUGUCCAAACAUUGAAUCACCAUUUGGUUGUAGCUAGCAAUCUUCGAAUUAAUUGAAAACAAGACUACGUCAAAGAUGGUUUCUUCGAAGUCAACCAUUCUCUUUGAUUGUAGUCACCUUAAGCUACCAAUUAGCUAUUUAAGGUUUCAUUAUUUCGGGUCAAAUGGUACUUUACCAUUUCCUUGAGUAUAUAUCGUAUAUACACUCAAUGUAGUCAUUAGGAUUUUCAUUCUUAUUUCUUUCGAAUUUAGAGGUGUAACUCUAUGACAUAGUCAUAAAGUUCAAACCAUUCAACUGAGACGGUUUAUAAAUCCUUCUCGACUACCUUGGAGCUUGUGGUAUAGGAACUAGGUUGUUAUAUUUGUUUAUCACUAACUUGUUUCUUAAAGAACCAUUCUUUGAGUUCUAUCCCUCGUUCAUUUGCUCUAUCUUGGGCAAAUCCUAGUGUAGGAUUACAAUGAACUACCCAACAAACAACAUUUGUUAGUUGGUUUAUAGAAGUGAUAUCCAAAUGUUAAUUUAAGGAUACCCACAAGAUAAUUCUCAAACAAAUAUUGCUUAUUAGCACACAACCCCAAAUCUUAACAUGAUUAAGAUUUGUUUUUCUUUCCAACUACAUCUUAUGGAGUCAUGAAAAUUUUGGAAGAUCUUCUAAUUGACAAUCAUAUUGUCUUAGAAGCAUAUAUCCUAUAUAUGGGUAAUUGAUAACAAUGAACGAACUAAAUCUUAUUCAAGUUCGUUCUUCUCCUAAUGGAGAAAUCCAUUAUCUUUUGAUGCUUCUUUCCUUGAUAUUUUUCAAGGAAACUGUUCUAAAGUGUUAUCUUUCCUUGGAUCAAAUCUAAGGAGGCAAAUACUUUAGAUGUCUUACUCAUCAACUUACAUUUCUUGAAUUCUUUGAAACCUUUUGCAAAGUAUUCGGACUU